Molecule: long non-coding RNA, 588 nt
Filed under: Dasypus novemcinctus (nine-banded armadillo)
Lineage: Eukaryota; Metazoa; Chordata; Mammalia; Cingulata; Dasypodidae
Description: lncRNA (ENSDNOG00000052369.1)
Source: RNAcentral
GUAGAAGCAGGGGGAAGAGAUAACCUCUAGGACUCUCUGGCCCCAUCUGUCACUAGGUGCCUCCUUUGACGAACUUGGGGCAAGUCCUGAGAAGAAGCGUGUCAUGACUAUUUACAGAAUUUCUGAGCACUCAGGGCUGGAAGAGGAAAGAAAAAGAGAAAAACCUACAGCAAGUUCCUAUUUUCUACUUACUUCUCUUUGUCUAAGCCUGAAGAAUCAUGUGUUAAUGAAAGACCAGAAUCAAAGACACUUGAACAGACAUCAUCAAAGUGGGCUGGAGAAAAAUACCAGAACACCAGAAUGGAGGGGGAACAAAAGUUUUGGCACACAACUAGAAGCACAUCUCUUUCUCCCCUCCUUAAAUGAUGAAAUCUAUCAGCCAAUAGCAAAUGGCCCUAAUUGCCAACUUCAUUUACAAGAGAGACCUGUUAGUGAACACUGGAUGCAAUCUGUAAGCCUCAAUUUAUAAGAGGACUCAGUCAAUGACAUUCCUAUCCCUGCCUCUCUUUAUCUAAAACUAAUAAAAACCCUUGCCUCCUUUGUUUAAGGAGGCAGAUUUGAGACUUGCUCUCCUGACCUCUUCCAGCU